RNAcentral lists this ribosomal RNA (423 nucleotides) under uncultured bacterium. RNAcentral describes it as "bacterial SSU rRNA". It matches the Rfam family "Bacterial small subunit ribosomal RNA", at positions 358 to 773 of the family's 1533-position model. The record is from RNAcentral.
GGAAUUUUGGACAAUGGGGGCAACCCUGAUCCAGCAAUGCCGCGUGCGGGAAGAAGGCCUUCGGGUUGUAAACCGCUUUUGUCAGGGAAGAAAUCUUUUGGGCUAAUACCUCGGAAGGCUGACGGUACCUGCAGAAUAAGCACCGGCUAACUACGUCCCAGCAGCCGCGGUAAUACGUAGGGUGCGAGCGUUCAUCGGAAUUACUGGGCGUAAAGCGUGCGCAGGCGGCGAUGUAAGACAGAUGUGAAAUCCCCGGGCUUAACCUGGGAACUGCAUUUGUGACUGCAUUGCUAGAGUGCGGCAGAGGGAGAUGGAAUUCCGCGUGUAGCAGUGAAAUGCGUAGAUAUGCGGAGGAACACCGAUGGCGAAGGCAGUCUCCUGGGCCUGCACUGACGCUCAUGCACGAAAGCGUGGGGAGCAAAC